Non-coding RNA from Camellia sinensis, 278 nucleotides. Lineage: Eukaryota; Viridiplantae; Streptophyta; Magnoliopsida; Ericales; Theaceae. The record is from RefSeq and is a predicted model, not a curated record.
AGUCAAUACAGAGAAUAUUAAAAUACCCCCCUACAAGGAUUUUUAAGUGGUUGAUGAAAGGCAUCUCUUGUGGAAAUUUCGUUGAAGAGGGCUCUCACAAAGUUUCUCUGUUGUGUCGAAUGGAGUGAUGUUCAGGAAGCAAAGCAGGCAGUAGAAUUGAUGGGAAGGUGGGAAACAAUUGAUGUAUGUGAUGCAUUGGAGCUUCUAUCACCUGUUUUUGAAAAUGAAGAGAUCAUUAUCUAGCACAAGGGCUCCUGUGAUGUGACCUUGUUAUUAUU